ACGAAGGAUGCAAGCGUUAUCCGGAUUCAUUGGGUUUAAAGGGAGCGUAGGUGGCCUUAUAAGUCAGUGGUGAAAUCUCUGGGCUUAACCCAGAAAUUGCCAUUGAUACUGUAGGGCUUGAGUACAGUUGCUGUGGGCGGAAUAUGACAUGUAGUGGUGAAAUACAUAGAGAUGUCAUAGAACACCGAUUGCGAAGGCAGCUCACAAAACUGUAACUGACACUGAGGCUCGAAAGUGCGGGGAUCAAACAGG
RNAcentral lists this ribosomal RNA (252 nucleotides) under uncultured bacterium. Its description in RNAcentral is "partial 16S ribosomal RNA". It matches the Rfam family "Bacterial small subunit ribosomal RNA", at positions 525 to 776 of the family's 1533-position model. The record is from RNAcentral.